CGGUGAAACACCGGUUCUAGUACGAUCACCGAAGUUCAGCAACGACGAGUUUGGUCAGUACUUCGAUGGGCGACCACUUAAGAACACUAAGUGCUGCAA
This is a non-coding RNA of Acanthosepion pharaonis, 99 nucleotides long. The record is from the annotation of a GenBank genome assembly. Lineage: Eukaryota; Metazoa; Mollusca; Cephalopoda; Sepiida; Sepiidae.